CUACGGGGGGCACCAGUGGGGAAUAUUGCACAAUGGAGGAAACUCUGAUGCAGCAACGCCGCGUGGAGGAUGACACUUUUCGGAGCGUAAACUCCUUUUAUAUAGGAAGAAGAUGACGGUACUAUAUGAAUAAGCGCCGGCUAACUCCGUGCCAGCAGCCGCGGUAAUACGGAGGGCGCAAGCGUGACUCGGAAUCACUGGGCGUAAAGAGCGUGUAGGCGGAUUAAAAAGUCAGAAGUGAAAUCCUAUAGCUUAACUAUAGAACUGCUUCUGAAACUCUUAAUCUAGAAUAUGGGAGAGGUAGACGGAAUUUCUGGUGUAGGGGUAAAAUCCGUAGAGAUCAGAAGGAAUACCGAUUGCGAAGGCGAUCUACUAGAACAUUAUUGACGCUGAGACGCGAAAGCGUGGGGAGCAAACAGGAUUAGAUACCCUAGUAGUC
Molecule: ribosomal RNA, 439 nt
Filed under: uncultured bacterium
Lineage: Bacteria
Description: partial 16S ribosomal RNA
Rfam family: Bacterial small subunit ribosomal RNA
Source: RNAcentral